Molecule: long non-coding RNA, 395 nt
Organism: Dermacentor silvarum
Lineage: Eukaryota; Metazoa; Arthropoda; Arachnida; Ixodida; Ixodidae
Exons: 3
Source: RefSeq, a predicted model, not a curated record
AGUUUCUAGCUAACACAUCAACUGAUCGCUCCUAGGCCGUUGCUGAAACUUCAAAUGGCUGUCGGUUUAUUCUGCAACACGCCGGCGGUAGCAGGUGUUUUUCGCUCUGACAAGUCGCUUACCUGUGUUGGCCAGGGUUUCAAGGAAGGCACUCCACAGUAGAGCAAAGUGGGCGAGGAGAUCAAUUUGUUUACCGCAGGAGAGCCGUCGCGAGUGCCAUCGGAUCCGGACUAUGUGCCGAGUAUAUUCACGUACCAGCCGGCGUGCGGAGGCGUUCUUCCUCGACAGCAACGGGCCUCGAGAAGACAAGAUGCUGCCAGUCUUGCAGCAACAGCCCCCAAUGUAGGCGCUGCUGGGGCUGCCACAGCAGUACCCAACAGUGCCGAGUCAGUGCC